RNAcentral lists this long non-coding RNA (1452 nucleotides) under Calidris pygmaea (Spoon-billed sandpiper). Its description in RNAcentral is "lncRNA (ENSCPGG00000001748.1)". Lineage: Eukaryota; Metazoa; Chordata; Aves; Charadriiformes; Scolopacidae. The record is from RNAcentral.
GGGGCUGUGACUUCAACAUUGCUCUUUCAAGACCUUAGCUCUGUUUGAAUUGCUUUUAUAUAAAUGUUCUGUAUAGCGUGAACAAAGUUACUGCUUCCCCGGUUUUUAUUUCUCGUGAGCGACUAAAACCAGUUAAAAACCGCUCCCUGGAUCUGUCGGGCUGGAGUCAGCGCUCCGGCUCUUCCGGGGCUGCCCGCGGGAGGCGGGGGGUGCGCGGACACGAGUGUCCCCUGUGGCAAGGUCAAGCCCGACAGCGGGGCGCUCGGCCCGCGGCUGCCCUGGCCGUCGGUGGCGUUUCGGGGCACCCUCCGCGCCGCGCGGGGCGAUCGGUCUUCGCAUCGCCCCGACCGACGCCGGGGUCCGCGCUGCCCGCGCCGCCCGACACAGUCAUGUUCCGCGGGAGAGAACGCGGAGCGGUGCGGACGCCGCCCGCCCCGGGGUUCCCCUCGCCGACGGGCAGAGUCCGGGGCUGGCGCCGCGGCGCGGGGGAGCGGCCGGGCCCCGCAGCGGCGCGGAGCGGAGCGGGACGCGCGGCGGCGGCGCAGGAGAGCCCAGCCGGGGCCGCCGGUAUUUAGGGCGGGCGCUGCCGGAGCCGGGCGGGAGCGGGACGGCGGGGACGGCGGGAAAAUCAUUUACCUGGAUUUUUUCUUGAAUAAAAGAUAACUUAAUUGAAAUAUUAGAUUAUUGGGAAGAAAUUCAUUUUAUCUAGAAGUGAUUGACACCUGUUGGAAGCAAUAGGACUACUAAUAGGCUUGUUCAUAGCCCACAGGUGAGUGGGCGACAUGCACUUCAUUUUAUUUUGCAGUGCUGGAGUUGUUCUAACACUGAACAAUGGGUGAUACUUGCAAUAUAAGGCAAAGGCUCGGUGUUGCUUUUCUCAGCAACUGAAAUCAAGAUUGGACUUGGUCAUUGUCUUUAAUAUUGCUAAUCAGCCUGGUGUUUUUGGUUUAGAUUUUCACGUGUGUGGGAUGCAUGAUCAGCCCAGUGUUGAGGUAAAGCGACUUCUUAGGCUCUGGCAGUGACAGCACUGAAGUGAGCUAUUACUGAGUCAGUUAAAGGCAUGGUAAAGGUAUAGGGGAAAAAAAAACUAGAGAAGAUAAAGGAAAUUUAGCAUAGAGAAACUAGAUUAGCUUUGGCAUCCCUGUUCACUAAAGAGAAUUUGGAGAAUGUUUACAAGUGGAACUUUUAUUUCUGAAUGAAAUGAACAACAGCGAAUCUUUACUAUCAGACAGUGCUCAGCUAAAGAGCAUGAUGCCACUCAAGAUCCAAACUGCAAUGGUAUCAGAAGGGGUCUUUGGCCUCUUCUUGUAACUCCCUUUGCACCUGUCAACUGCGAAAUAGCUGCUGAGAUACCACUGUCCAAAGAGAUCCAGGCAACUGGUUAUUCCUAAGCCUGAUGUGUGUACCUGGUCAGUUUGCAGAAAUUAUAAUAAACAAUAGUAUUACUGUACA